This 896-nucleotide ribosomal RNA is filed under the name Simulium siripoomense. RNAcentral's name for it is "partial 16S ribosomal RNA". The record is from RNAcentral. Lineage: Eukaryota; Metazoa; Arthropoda; Insecta; Diptera; Simuliidae.
UUUUAAUAUAUCUAGUUUUUUAAGAAAUAAAUUUAAUUUAGAUAAUUUAUUUUAAUGAUUUAAUUUAAUAAAUUAUUAUAGUAAAUUAUUAAUAUUUUAAGGGAUGAGCUUUAAAAUAAAAUUUUAUAAAUAACUUUUAUUAAGUAAUAAUUGUAAGCUUAGAAUUAGCUAUCAAUAGAAAAUAUGUUUUAAUUUAUUUUUUGUUUAAUAUUAUUUAUUAUUUGUUUUAAAUUUUUUAUUAAUAUAUAAAUUUUAAUUUUGUAAAUUUAUUAAUAAUGAUAAAAUUAGUAAAUAUAACUAAUUAUAUAAAUAAAUCUAAUUUGAUUGGUUUUUAUAAUUAAUUCGGCAAAUUUUGUGCUCACCUGUUUAUCAAAAACAUGUCUUUUUGGUUAUUUAAUAUAAAGUCUGACCUGCCCACUGAAUUAAAUUUGAAGGGCCGCAGUAUUUUGACUGUGCAAAGGUAGCAUAAUCAUUAGUCUUUUAAUUGAAGGCUGGUAUGAAUGGUUGGAUGAGGUACAAGCUGUGUCAUAAAAAUUAGUUUUUGAAUUUACCUUUUUAGUCAAAAGGCUAAAAUAAAGUUAAAAGACGAGAAGACCCUAUAGAGCUUUAUAUAAUUUGUAUUUAAGUUAUUUAGAUUUUUUAAAUUUAAUUAUUUUAUUAUAUUUUGUUGGGGUGACAAUAAAAUUUAUAAAACUUUUAUUUUUAUUUACCAUUUAUUUAUGUUUAUAUGAUCCAGUUUUAUUGAUUAUAAAUUUAAGUUACCUUAGGGAUAACAGCGUAAUUUUUUUUGAGAGUUCUUAUCGACAAAAAAGAUUGCGACCUCGAUGUUGGAUUAAGAGUAAUUUUGGGUGUAGAAGUUCAAAGUUUAAGUCUGUUCGACUUUUAAAUUUUUACAU